UAGCGCAGCCUGGUAGCGUACCUGCUUCGGGAGUAGGGGGUCGGAGGUUCAAAUCCUC
Molecule: transfer RNA, 58 nt
Filed under: Nitrospina sp.
Lineage: Bacteria; Pseudomonadati; Nitrospinota; Nitrospinia; Nitrospinales; Nitrospinaceae
Description: tRNA-Pro
Rfam family: tRNA
About the family: Transfer RNA (tRNA) molecules are approximately 80 nucleotides in length. Their secondary structure includes four short double-helical elements and three loops (D, anti-codon, and T loops). Further hydrogen bonds mediate the characteristic L-shaped molecular structure. tRNAs have two regions of fundamental functional importance: the anti-codon, which is responsible for specific mRNA codon recognition, and the 3' end, to which the tRNAs corresponding amino acid is attached (by aminoacyl-tRNA synthetases). tRNAs cope with the degeneracy of the genetic code in two manners: having more than one tRNA (with a specific anti-codon) for a particular amino acid; and 'wobble' base-pairing, i.e. permitting non-standard base-pairing at the 3rd anti-codon position.
Source: RNAcentral